RNAcentral lists this ribosomal RNA (253 nucleotides) under uncultured bacterium. RNAcentral's name for it is "partial 16S ribosomal RNA". It matches the Rfam family "Bacterial small subunit ribosomal RNA", at positions 524 to 776 of the family's 1533-position model. The record is from RNAcentral.
UACGUAGGUGGCAAGCGUUGUCCGGAUUUAUUGGGUUUAAAGGGUGCGUAGGCGGCUUUGCAAGUCAGUGGUGAAAUCCGGCAGCUUAACUGUCGAUGUGCCAUUGAUACUGCAGGACUUGAGUACAGACGAGGUAGGCGGAAUUGACGGUGUAGCGGUGAAAUGCUUAGAUAUCGUCAAGAACACCGAUAGCGAAGGCAGCUUACUAGACUGUAACUGACGCUGAUGCACGAAAGUGUGGGGAUCAAACAGG